CAUAGGCCGCCUCGCCUCGUCGGCGCCGGGCGCUCUAGCAGCCGGUCGCCGGGCCGCCUCCGCCGCGAGCUGCCUCGGUUUCGCGUGCCGUGCUCCGCGUCCGCCGCCGUUGCGCUGCGGAGGCUGCGGGAUGUGCCUUGUUUGUGUCACGGUGGGGCGCCGUGUUGGCCUCGUACUGUUGGCCGCGGCCGUUUGACGCUGACCCGUGAGGUGUUCGACGGAAUGCCGAAGCGCAGCAAGGCGGUGGAAUCGUGUCUUCCGCAAGCCAAGCUGUAAUGCAGUGGGUGUUCUUUGCCCCUGAAAGCGACCAUGAUGCAUGAUUGUGCAACUCUGCAGCGGGUGUCUCUGAAUCGGAAUAACGCUUGCGGAUUCGGAUCCAGAUUGACUGACCGGCACAAAGCGCGUGAGACGGAAAGGGCAUUAACUUUGCAGCAUGUCGUUUCCGUAUCGGAAUAACACGUGCGAAGUUGGAAACCAGGUAUGGCUGGUGCAAAACACGUGAGCCAGAGAAGGCGAUAAGUUUGCAGCCUGUAAGUGGUGCAAACUUUAAUUAUGCUCAUCAGUGCGUUCCGUUAGACUCUGUGCGUUUCCGUAACGGAAAAACGCUUGUGAAACCAGAUCAAGGAUGAGUGGCACAAACCGAGUGAGCUAGGAAAGGGCGUUUCCAUAUCAGAAUAACGCAUGCAAAGCUGAGUUAGGGAUAAGUGGCACAAACCACGUGAGCCGGAAAAGGCAUUAACUUUGCAGCCUGUAAGUGAAAGCCACAAUCAGUGGAAGCUGCACGGAUAUUUGAUGCUAACUUUCAUGAUAGAAGCACUGACGAAAAGGAACUCAGAAACCACUGUAAGCAUGAAUAAUUUCUAACUUGUAGUCUCAUACUCUUAUGUCGAUUUGUACAUGAAGUGCUUUUAAUAGUGGAAAUUUGAUAUGGUUAGUGCUCUAGAGCAACAAGCACUACGCAUCUAGAGUUCUAACAAACUUAGGUUACUGCUGAAGUAUGUAGACUGCCCACCUUUGCUAAAAAGAUGAGCUUUCGAAUAAACUAAUUGUUUCAUGGGGAAACAUGCUAUCGAGAGUCACGGUAAACCUCAUGGUUUCUUUCACGAAUCCAAAGAUGUGACGCAUGAUGAUCAGGAUCUCUUUAUGCCUUCAUUCAAAUGACAAAAGCAUUGUGUCUGCUGACUUUUGUUUGACCUGUCAUUUGGCGCUAUGAACAUUGGUCUAGGACAGUGGGACUAGAUAGUACUCCCUCUGUAAACAAAUGUAAGAGUGUUUAGAUCACUAUUUUAGUGAUCUAAACGCUCUUAUAUUAGUUUACGGAGGGAGUAUUUUUUUUCUACCCCUGAUAUUUUAGUUGUUUGAAGACAGUCAAAGUCUCUGGUAGUGGAGGACUAGUGUUGGAAGGUUUUCUUGUCUGUUCAACGAACAAUCAUCCGCGUGAAGGCUGAAAUAUCAUGUGUUGUGGCCAGAAGAGCACAUAUUCAAUGAUUCUGGGGGCAAAUGGAAAAGUAGUCACUUAGUUCGCCGAAUUCCUGACUGACCAACCCAAUUCUUGCGUUUGCAGUAUCACACUACUUGCCUGCUUGGUAAAACCAGUGUUGAGUAGCGAAAGGGCGAAAGGAAACUGCUAGCCUGCUACUAGAUAACUAAUGAAUUUGGGUUGAAGUCGUGGAGACCAACACCACACCUAACCUAAUAAUAGCCGAUUGGAUGGAAGAAUGGAAGGACUGGUAGGUAGGAGGAGGAUGCCAUGGGGAGUUUGGAGCUUUAUGCAGGCAUAUAAGGGGCAUGUAGGUAGGAGGAAACAAAGAGGGAGUUGGGAGAGAGGAGUCAUGGAUAAGUGCUGUUCAUGCUCGUUGCCAUGUGGUGUGGGGGCUGGCUAAUUGGCCUUGGCCACGCCUCCCUGGAAGAUAUAACAGCAAAA
Molecule: long non-coding RNA, 1924 nt
Organism: Triticum dicoccoides
Lineage: Eukaryota; Viridiplantae; Streptophyta; Magnoliopsida; Poales; Poaceae
Exons: 6
Source: RefSeq, a predicted model, not a curated record